CACGAGGGUUAGUUACAUCAUUUUCCAAACAUUAGGGCUUGCCUUCAUCUGUAUUAUCAUCCUUCUAACUCUCUGCAGCCAGAUUGUCGCGCGCACGGGGUUAGUUACAUUCUUCUCCGACCAUUAGGGAUUGCCUUCAUCUGCACUAUCAUCCAUCGACUCUCCGCAGCCAGAUUGUCGCACGCACGAGGUAGGAUGCUGGUAGAUGGUCUUCAUGAAGGAAGAAGUGAACUAUUGGGUUACCAUGAUAAUGAUAAGUUAUAACUGGUUCUGCUAAGAAGCGACAACAAACUGAGAAAUCUUUGGUCACUAAUCGAAACAGCAACAAGUCAAACUCCAAAAUGGGAAUAGUAAUAGAGUAACAUGGACAGAUAUCGGCAUUGAAAGUCCUUUUUUUCUUCUAAAUGUUAAUGUUUGUACAUAACAGAGUUGUCGCAAAAGUAACCUCUAACAAUACUAAUGGUGUGUGUGUAUACCAAGUGUUUUGAACACAUUACUUGAACGUUGUUCAUUAAACAACUCAUCAAUGAAGCCAUAUAAAAUUGGUAACAACAA
Molecule: long non-coding RNA, 555 nt
Organism: Impatiens glandulifera
Lineage: Eukaryota; Viridiplantae; Streptophyta; Magnoliopsida; Ericales; Balsaminaceae
Exons: 4
Source: RefSeq, a predicted model, not a curated record